Molecule: transfer RNA, 75 nt
Filed under: Thermoplasmata archaeon
Lineage: Archaea; Methanobacteriati; Thermoplasmatota; Thermoplasmata
Also listed under: 1 other name
Description: tRNA-Arg
Rfam family: tRNA
About the family: Transfer RNA (tRNA) molecules are approximately 80 nucleotides in length. Their secondary structure includes four short double-helical elements and three loops (D, anti-codon, and T loops).
Source: RNAcentral
GGGCGCGUGGCCUAGCCUGGAUAGGGCGCUGGCCUUCUAAGCCAGCAGUCGCGGGUUCGAAUCCCGCCGCGCCCG